RNAcentral lists this ribosomal RNA (258 nucleotides) under uncultured bacterium. Its description in RNAcentral is "partial small subunit ribosomal RNA". It matches the Rfam family "Bacterial small subunit ribosomal RNA", at positions 26 to 291 of the family's 1533-position model. The record is from RNAcentral.
AGGACAAACGCUGGCGGCGUACCUAAGACAUGCAAGUCGAACGGAUUGCGUAUCUUCGGAUGUGCAGUGAGUGGCGAACGGGUGAGUAACGCGUAGGAACCCGCCUCGACGUGGGGGAUAACACUUGGAAACAGGUGCUAAUACCGCAUGUGGUCGAGAGAAGAAAGGCUUGAGCAAUCAAGUCGCGUUGAGAGGGGCCUGCGUCCGAUUAGCUAGUUGGUGGGUAACGGCUUACCAAGGCGACGAUCGGUAGCUGGU